Chlorocebus sabaeus (green monkey) is the source of this 71-nucleotide transfer RNA. It matches the Rfam family "tRNA". Rfam says of the family: Transfer RNA (tRNA) molecules are approximately 80 nucleotides in length. Their secondary structure includes four short double-helical elements and three loops (D, anti-codon, and T loops). NCBI's taxonomy places the organism in Eukaryota, Metazoa, Chordata, Mammalia, Primates, Cercopithecidae. The record is from Rfam.
ACUUUUAAAGGAUAACAGUUAUCCAUUGGUCUUAGGAACCAAACACAUUGGUGUAAUUCCAAAUAAAAGUA